ACCAUAAUCUCUUGAAGCUAUUUAUAAAAUCGGAAAUCUUUUAGGAUUAACACAAGAGCGAAGUUCUAGCGAUUCGCAAAAGUACGUAACAUGGUCCAAGAAUAGUAACAAAAUUGAAAAACUCUGGGAAACAAAAAUGUGUCUUAGAGAUCAAGCAAAAACAAUGAUUUCCAAACCGGAAAACAUCGAUAAUGACAAUGCGGGACAGAACUUAACCAUAGAACUUGUUUUUUUCGACGAAGCAGCAUAUAAUAAGUCCAUGUCUAUUUUGGACAAUGAUGAGGAUAAGUUACACAAUAUUAUAUUAGCGUACGUGAAUCGCAUCCAGGCUGCCUUUAAUCGUCCGAGUUUGGAUGUUUUUAUGAAUAUUACGUUAAUACGUUUAAUUAUGCUGAGAGAACAGCCGUCAAAUUUGCCAAUUUCUGACGGCAAUGCUGGCGAAUUGCUCUUUUCGUUCUGCACAUACGCGAAUUCUCUAAAUUCUCCGGACGAUAAUGAUCCGCAUCACUAGGAUAUUGCCCUUUACUUAACCGGAGUAAAACUUUAUGAAAAUGUUCUGGUAAAAUUUAAAACGCAUGACAGAGAUGAGAAGAAUUUUCAAAUUACAGGAUAUACUUACUUCGAUAGCGUAUGUAAGCCGCUUCUCUCAUGCGCGAUAGCAGAACUCCGUGACCAAUUUGAAGUCGAAUACCCUUUUACUGCUAUUCAGAUAAUCGGUGAACUUUUAGGAUGAAUACCAGAGCGAAAUUCUAACGAUUUGGAAAGGAAUAUUACAUGGUCCGAGUAUAGUCGUCAAAUUUCUAAAAAACACUGGAAAAAUAAAACGUGUCUUAGAGAUGAAGCAAAAACGAUGAUCUCUAGAAAAGAAAACGUCGAUAAUACGCAAAAGAAAUUAAUCAUAGAACUUGUCGUUUUCUUCGAUGAAGCAGCAUAUCAUAUGUACAUGCCUAUUCUGGACAAUGAUGAAGAUAAGUUACGCAAUAUGAUAUUAGCAUAUGUGAACCAAAUUCAAGCUUGCAUCAUUCAAGUUUGGGUGUUUCUGUUGAUAUUUCAUUAAUAAAGUUGGUAAUAAUGGAUAAACAGCUGUCAAAUUUGUCUACUUUCGACGAUGACCAUAAAAAAAUGAUCAAUUCAUUCUGCGAUUACGUAAAUUUUCUGUAUCCUAAAUACGGGAUUGAUUCGCUUCAGUGGGACAUUGGUCUUUACCUAAUCGGAAUAAAUCUAUAUGAGUCAGAAAAGGAACGAAAGCAUUACAGUGUUGUAGGAAGUUCUUUCGUUAAUUUCUCGUGUACCCAGAUUUCAUCGUGCGCCUUAGUAGAAAUCGGUUCUACCGGUCCUAACGCAGUCUCGGGUUUUGCAACGUCUCGUGCUGCUGUUCAUGAGAUCGGUCAUCUAAAAUUAGGAAUGGAACACGAUAAUGGCUUUAUUGAUUUGACGUGUCCAAAUGGCAAAUACAUAAUGACAGAUCUGCUAUAUCCGCGGGGACAAGUAACAUGAUCCGAGUGUAGUCGUAACAUUACAAAAAAUCUCUGGAAAAGAAAACCGUGUCUUCUUGAUCACACGAGACGAGAAGAGAUCGAAAAUCAAUAUGCAUUGGACCAUUCGCGUUAUCACGAUUUGCCGGGAAGAGAAUGAACCGCCAAAGCACAAUAUAAAUUAUUUUUACGCGACAAAGAUGCAAACGUUGUCACAUUGCAUGAUAUAUGUCAAGUCUUACAAUGCGAAACGCCUCACAGGAAUAAAAAUUUCUUCGCGGGACUUGCGUUGGAUUGAACUGGUUGUGCGCUUGGAAAAGAAUGUCGCGGCGGAGAAUGCGUGGCCGUUAUCAAACCACCACACAUUUUUCCAUAUUGUGAAAACAAUAAUUGGAGUGAAUGGAAAGAAGACUCCUGUAAAAGCGAUUGCUUAAAGGUUUCCAAAGGUGCGCGAGUCGAACGACGUUUUUGCAGACAUCGGAUUCACAAAACAGCAAAUUGCAAAGGGCCAUAUUACGACGUGGUCCUGUGUAAUGACUCCAGCCUUUGCACUGAAGAACGCAAAACGGUUUCCGAAUAUACUGCUUUAAAAUGCACUCAACUUAGCGUAAAAGUAAAAAGACAGGGCAAAGAAUAUUUUAAGUACGAACCGUAAAAUGAGCCAGGAAAGCAGGCCUCCCAUGUCGUUGAGGAACCGUGGAGAGCCUGUACCAUACACUGCCUACGAGAAGAAAAAAUAUCUGCUCAAUACAGUCUAUUGCUUUUCUAUGCACCACGCCAGGACAUGCUCGACUUAAAUAUCUAUCCAUACUUUCCAGAUGGAACGUGGUGCCACGAGAAAGAUGGGCAGGAUUAUUAUUGCCGCCAGCAUUAUUGUCUGCCGGAAAACUACUCAAUCGAAGAAUAAUUGUCGAGAGAUUCUCGACAUUAUGUACAAAAAUCUAACGAUAAGAUAAAAUAAAAUUGC
This is a non-coding RNA of Linepithema humile (Argentine ant), 2442 nucleotides long. The record is from RefSeq and is a predicted model, not a curated record. Lineage: Eukaryota; Metazoa; Arthropoda; Insecta; Hymenoptera; Formicidae.